AUGGCGGAAAAGCGGAAGGCCGACGACAACCUUAACGGGACAAGGCAUCCGGCUGCGCGGACGGACCCUACAGCCGGCGACGAACUCGCCGGUACAUCGGCGCAGGCAUCAGGGCCGACGGCGAAUCCAACCGGCGACGGCAUUGCCGGGACUUCGCAGGCGCUUGCGGGGCUGACGGCGGCGACUACAGGCUCCGCCGGCGGCUCUUCCCAGUCCGGUGGAGCUGCUCGCGGGGCCAGGGGCGGGUCGGGGUACAGGGGAUUCUCCCAGUCGCAGCCGCAUAGGAGGGCGCCGCAGAUGCCAUCUCAGGGGAUGCUCCGGCCGCCGCAGAUGCCAUCUCAGCGGAUGCUCCGGCCGCCGCGGGGCAAUCCAGCCGUUGGGAGUGCGCCCUUCCCGUACCACGCGCCGACCGGCAAUGGUUCGCUCUCCGGCCCCAGGCAGACAGGAACAGGGCAGCCGCUCGGCCACUCCGGCUCCGGCGGGCCUUCUUCGGCGAUCUCUUCCGCAAGCGCACCAGGCGCUCCAGUCAAUCCCCUCGUUCGAGCGUGCCCUCGUUGCAACAGGCCCACGAUCGUGUUUUUGGGCUUGUCGCCAUUGUGCGCGGAUUGCUUAAGCACUUUCGUCAUCAGCUACGUGCUUCCGCGGCACCCGGAGAUCCACUACGGCGGCGCCAGCUCGACCACCGCCAAUGGUCACCAGCGCCAGCUCGACCACCGCCUCCGCCAGCCUUCUUCCGCGGCGCUGCCACGGGCACGGGCUGCCGUCGGCCCACUCAGAAGGGCACCGACUGAUGGCUGGUGCAAUAAUUGCCUAGCGCUAACCAGGGGGGUUUUGGGCUCGUCGCCCUUGUGCGAUGUUUGCUACAACCGCCUCUUCGUCGCCGGCGACGUGCCUCCGCAGCACGCGCAGACCGGCGGCCACGUGCUUCCGAGUCCGGUCCCCAGCUACGCCUACGCGGGUGUGCCACGGGGGCCAGUCCCUGCCGGUGAGCAGCAGUACCGGGCUGCGGCCAUUGGGCCUUCUUCCACCUCGAGCUCGGCCGUGGGUUCGGGCCCGAUCUGCCAGGCUUGUGGCCACCCCUUCGGCACCGGCAACAGGGCGUGCAGGCUUUGGCGCCUCCACGGUCCGCCACCGCCACCGCCAGGGCUCGGCUAG
RNAcentral lists this ribosomal RNA (1155 nucleotides) under Triticum aestivum (bread wheat). Its description in RNAcentral is "partial small subunit ribosomal RNA". Lineage: Eukaryota; Viridiplantae; Streptophyta; Magnoliopsida; Poales; Poaceae. The record is from RNAcentral.